AUAGCUUUAGGGCUAGCCUCAAGGUGAGAGAUACGGAGGUAGAGCACUGAAUGUCCUAGGGGGUAUUGCACCUACCGAAGACUAUCAAACUCCGAAUGCCGUCAUCUUAUACUUGGGAGUCAGACUGUGGGUGAUAAGAUUCAUAGUCGAAAGGGCAACAGCCCAGAUCGUCAGCUAAGGUCCCUAAAUGUAAGUUAAGUGGUAAAGGAUGUGGGAUUGCACAGACAACCAGGAUGUUGGCUUAGAAGCAGCCACUCAUUCAAAGAGUGCGUAAUAGCUCACUGGUCGAGUGAUCCUGCGCCGAAGAUUUCCGGGGCUAAAACUUACUACCGAAGCUACGGCAUCAGUAAUGAUGGGUAGGGGAGCUUCCCAUACGGGUGGAAGCAUGACCGUAAGGACAUGUGGACAGUAUGGGAGUGAGAAUGUUGGCAUGAGUAGCGAGAUGUGGGUGGGAAUCCCACAGGCCGUAAACCCAAGGUUUCCAGGGGAAGGUUCGUCCACCCUGGGUUAGUCGGGACCUAAGCUGAGGCCGAAAGGCGUAGGUGAUGGACAACAGGUUGAUAUUCCUGUACUACCGAUAACCGUUUGAGAGAAGGGAUGACACAGUAGGAUAAGCUAAGCACACUGUUGGUUAUGUGUGCCCAAGCAUUGAGGCAGUCAAAGUAGGCAAAUCCGCUUUGAUAAUGCUGGGAUGUGAUGGGGAGCGAAAUUUAGUAGCGAAGUAGCUGAUUUCACACUGUCAAGAAAAGUCUCUAUCGAGGUUAAAGGUACCCGUACCGCAAACCGACACAGGUG
Molecule: ribosomal RNA, 795 nt
Filed under: Clostridioides difficile
Lineage: Bacteria; Bacillati; Bacillota; Clostridia; Peptostreptococcales; Peptostreptococcaceae
Description: bacterial LSU rRNA
Rfam family: Bacterial large subunit ribosomal RNA
Source: RNAcentral